Molecule: ribosomal RNA, 142 nt
Organism: Nicotiana attenuata
Lineage: Eukaryota; Viridiplantae; Streptophyta; Magnoliopsida; Solanales; Solanaceae
Rfam family: 5.8S ribosomal RNA
About the family: 5.8S ribosomal RNA (5.8S rRNA) is a component of the large subunit of the eukaryotic ribosome.
Source: Rfam
CCCUAUUACCCUAUCUCGACUCACGCGUCGAUGAAGAACAUAUAUAGCAAAAUGUGAUAUUUGGCGUGAAUUGUAGAAUCCCGUAAACUAUCAAGUCUUUGAUCACAAAUUACGCCCCUAGACGUCACGCAUCGCAUCGUCC